Molecule: unclassified non-coding RNA, 387 nt
Filed under: soil metagenome
Description: partial contains 5.8S ribosomal RNA, internal transcribed spacer 2, and large subunit ribosomal RNA
Rfam family: 5.8S ribosomal RNA (bases 1-120)
Source: RNAcentral
GAUGAAGAACGUAGCGAAAUGCGAUAAGUAAUGUGAAUUACAGAAUUCAGUGAAUCAUCGAAUCUUUGAACGCACAUUGCGCCCAUUAGUAUUCUAGUGGGCAUGCCUGUUCGAGCGUCAUUAAUUCCACUUAAGCCCUGCUUAGUGUUGGGAAUCUACUCUAGUGGUGCUACCCUGGAGCUACCCCUGAAAGGGGGCUGGCCCGGUAGCUACCCUGUAGUUCCUCAAAGAUAGUGCGCGGAGUUGCGUGGUCCUCUGAGCUUAGUAACUAUACACCUAGCUUUUGAGUGUCCCGCGGCGCCUGCCGUUUAAACCCCAUCUUUUAAUGGUUGACCUCGGAUCAGGUAGGAAUACCCGCUGAACUUAAGCAUAUCAAUAAGCGGAGGA